GUGGGGAAUAUUGGACAAUGGGCGCAAGCCUGAUCCAGCCAUGCCGCGUGAGUGAUGAAGGCCUUAGGGUUGUAAAGCUCUUUCACCGAUGAAGAUAAUGACGGUAGUCGGAGAAGAAGCCCCGGCUAACUUCGUGCCAGCAGCCGCGGUAAUACGAAGGGGGCUAGCGUUGUUCGGAUUUACUGGGCGUAAAGCGCACGUAGGCGGUUUGUUAAGUCAGGGGUGAAAUCCCGGAGCUCAACUCCGGAACUGCCUUUGAUACUGGCAAGCUAGAGUCCGGAAGAGGUAAGUGGAACUCCUAGUGUAGAGGUGGAAUUCGUAGAUAUUAGGAAGAACACCGGUGGCGAAGGCGGCCAACUGGUCCAUUACUGACGCUGAGGUGCGAAAGCGUGGGGAGCAAACAGGAUUAGAAACCCGUGUAGUCC
This 425-nucleotide ribosomal RNA is filed under the name uncultured bacterium. Its description in RNAcentral is "partial 16S ribosomal RNA". It matches the Rfam family "Bacterial small subunit ribosomal RNA", at positions 354 to 796 of the family's 1533-position model. The record is from RNAcentral.